Diuraphis noxia (Russian wheat aphid) is the source of this 921-nucleotide long non-coding RNA. RefSeq lists it as uncharacterized. Lineage: Eukaryota; Metazoa; Arthropoda; Insecta; Hemiptera; Aphididae. The record is from RefSeq and is a predicted model, not a curated record.
CGUUAUCGCGACUACAAUGGUUAUCUGCGCACUGUUUCACSAAACCGUCGAAAGCAAAACAAUAAUUAGUUUAAUAGUUUACGACGUUUACGUCUCGUGCGAUUAAAUUAAAUUUUAAACACGCCUAAUUAUACGGACUAUGAUUAACGGUUUACGAGUUUUUCUUAUUCAUACUCUACGACGACGACCUGGCGAAUCAAAUAACCGACCACUGGAUGUCCACUGAGUAGUGAAUAAUUGUGAAAAAUGAAGAACAUUGGCGUGCAACGACAGAAAGAGUUUAUUCAGGAGUAAAGAGUUUAGUUUAUUACUAAGCAUUUUACUUGAUGCAAUAUUUUUAGUUCAUGMUACAGUUCAAUGCAGUUUUAUUCAAGGACCCAAGUUAAAUAUUGAUACAGAUAUAGUCAUGUUGGUUCUCAGAAGUAUUGAGUAUGAACAGUGAAUGUGCUUCAAAUCAGUGGCGUAACUAGCAGCAAAUGUUUGGGUUAGCGAACACUUUUAUAUGCUUCACCUUCUCUAAUGAGCAUAAUGUAUGCCUUCUUGAAAAUGGACAAGGAUAAAAUGAUGAACUGGCUACACUUAUUUUCGACAUCAAUUAAGAAUCUAGUUUUGGUUAAAUAUAGUUAAGAAUUCAGUUUAUUUUGUUUUCAUAAUUUUUUAUUAUGUUUAUAAUUUAUAUUAUAAUUCCUGAUUUGUAUAGUUUAAUGAACCAAACCUAAUUGGUUGUUAGGUAUUUUUUUACAAAUAAAAAUUGCUUAAUAAUGUGUUUUUAAAAAUAACUAUCAUGUUAUAUAUGUAUAAGAUUUAGUUGUUAUAGUCCAUGCAACGAAAACUGGCUGAUGAGCGACGUGACUCGAUAAAAUUAAUUUAUUAACUAUUGAAAAACCUAAACCAAUAUUUUAAAUAUUAUUCAUUUAGAAU